This 315-nucleotide unclassified non-coding RNA is filed under the name Hevea brasiliensis (rubber tree). The record is from RNAcentral. Lineage: Eukaryota; Viridiplantae; Streptophyta; Magnoliopsida; Malpighiales; Euphorbiaceae.
GUCUUCAUCCAUAGCGUCAUCUUCUGGCUGCUCCGAGUCAGGUUCGGCUGUCAACUUUUCAGCAUCGACAGCCUUCCCAUGAGCCUUCUUCUUCGUUUCAUACUUGGGCCUUUUCUUGGUCUCGCCACCAGCAUCGACGAUCGGAAUCUCGGUCUGGGCAAGAAUCUGCUUCCUCAUCGCCUCCCGCCGCUUCUGCUCCUCCUUCUGCUUACCCGUCAACAGCUUCCCUUCCUGCUUCUUCUUCAACAGCUUCUCCUUUUCCUUCUCCUUCUUCCUCCUCUUCGCCUCCUCCUUCAGUCGCUCCUCCUCCUCCAG